CUUCAAUAACGGCUGGAACAGGUGGAGUAGUAUUGGAAACACCAGGGCCUCAUGAACGGGUAAUCUAUUGUUCCUUUAUCACUAUAUUCAAGGUUACAAUUAUAUUAACUGCUCUUAAUUUCUCCAUAAAAAUGUUGUAUUAAUUAAUCUUUUUACACUUUAGUUAUUCAUUUUUUUACCUACAAAUCUACCUUAUUGUUUUAAAACAUGAAAAGUUAACUGUUUAAAAAUGACAGUGACUGUAAAUAAUUUGUUUUUUUUUCUUUUUCUAACUAUGGAUUUGUGCUCUUGUUUGCUUAUUAUGUUAGGAAAGUGGGAAACAAACUUCUUUUGGACCUAUUGCAACUAAUGAGAAUGAGAUGGUAAGGCCUAAUGUAAAUAACUUAGUAAUCUCAAGUGCUAAAAAAAAAAAGUUGACAUCUGAUGUUUGGGAAGAAUUUAGCAAGAAGAAAGAAAGGGAUGGGAAAGUACUUGCUAUAUGUGUAUAUUGUGAUAGAAAUUUUGAUGGUUCAAGUAAGAAAGGAACUACGCACCUAAGAAAUCACUUGAAAAGAUGUAAAGAAAGAGCAGCGAAAGUUGGGAAAGAUGAUUUAAAAAAUGAAAGUGCCAAUGAAGGUAAUUCUUCAUUUGAUCAAGAUAGGAGUAGCAUGGAUGUUGCAAGAAUGAUUAUUAAGCAUCAGUACCCAUUGAAUAUAGUUGAGCAUGAAUUUUUCAGCAUUCUUUUGAAAAAUUUGCAACCAAUGUUCAAACUUCAAUCACAAGAUGCUCUAUCAUCUGAAAUAAUUCGUGUCUACAAAGAAGAAAAGCGUAAACUCCUUCGAUAUUUUGAUAAGCUAUCAUGUCGCUUUAAUUUGAUAAUUAGUUUGUGGACACAUGAUCUUGAAAAGACUGUGUAUUGUUGUUAUGUUGUACAAUUUAUUGAUGACAAUUGGGAAUUGAAGAAGAAAAUUCUUGCUUUAAAAAGUUUAGGGAAUCAAUUUGAGAAAAUGACUUUCGUUGAAAAUUUCAAAAAGUUUCUUGUGGAUUGGAAUUUUGACAAGAAAGUUUGUUCCUUAACCAUACAUAAUUCUUCUUCAUGUUUCGAGAUAGCUGAAGAAAUAAGAAAGAGCUGGCAAUGUUUUGUAGAUCCAUAUCCUUCAAGCACAUUUUUCAUCAGUAGUGAUGAAUGUGUUUUUGGUCUCCUUGGUAAAGAUAACUCAGAUGAGAAGAAUGUUGGAAAAUCUAUUGAUGGUGCCAUUAGAACUUCAAAUGCAUGUUUGCGGGACAUUUUUGGCAUCUACAAGAAACUGAGUCAAUGGGAUGGAAGAG
Molecule: long non-coding RNA, 1308 nt
Filed under: Durio zibethinus
Lineage: Eukaryota; Viridiplantae; Streptophyta; Magnoliopsida; Malvales; Malvaceae
Description: long non-coding RNA (DZIB_LNC001552)
Source: RNAcentral